Molecule: ribosomal RNA, 465 nt
Filed under: uncultured bacterium
Lineage: Bacteria
Description: partial 16S ribosomal RNA
Rfam family: Bacterial small subunit ribosomal RNA
Source: RNAcentral
AGCGAACGCUAGCGGCAGGCUUAACACAUGCAAGUCGAGCGCCAGGUUUCGGCCUGGAGCGGCGAACGGGUGAGUAACACGUAGGUCACGUACCCUAUGGUGGGGAAUACCCCGGGGAAACUCGGAUCAAUGCCCCAUAUGUCCGAAAGGAUGAAAGCGCUUCGGCGCGCCAGAGGAUCGGCCUGCGGCCCAUUAUUUAAUCCUAGUUGGUGAGGUAACGGCUCACCAAGGGUACGAUGGGUAGCUGGUCUGAGAGGACGAUCAGCCACACUGGAACUGAGACACGGUCCAGACUCCUACGGGAGGCAGCAGUGGGGAAUAUUGGACAAUGGGCGAAAGCCUGAUCCAGCCAUGCCGCGUGAGUGAUGAAGGCCUUCGGGUUGUAAAGCUCUGUCGUGGGGGAAGAAGUUCUGACGGUACCCCACAAGAAAGCACCGGCUAACUCCGUGCCAGCCGCCGCUGUAA